This 1399-nucleotide ribosomal RNA is filed under the name uncultured bacterium. RNAcentral describes it as "16S ribosomal RNA". It matches the Rfam family "Bacterial small subunit ribosomal RNA". The record is from RNAcentral.
UAGAGUUUGAUCCUGGCUCAGGAUGAACGCUAGCGACAGGCUUAACACAUGCAAGUCGAGGGGCAGCGAGGGCGUAGCAAUACGCCUGUCGGCGACCGGCGCACUGGUGAGUAACACGUAUGCGACCUGCCCCACGGUAAGGGAUAACCCGCGGAAACGCGGCCUAAUACCUUAUGGUCUCCGAGAAUGGCAUCUGCCUCGGAGUAAAGAUUUAUUGCCGUGGGAUGGGGAUGCGUCUGAUUAGCUUGUUGGCGGGGUAACGGCCCACCAAGGCUACGAUCAGUAGGGGUUCUGAGAGGAAAGCCCCCCACAUUGGAACUGAGACACGGUCCAAACUCCUACGGGAGGCAGCAGUGAGGAAUAUUGGUCAAUGGGCGAGAGCCUGAACCAGCCAAGUAGCGUGCAGGAUGACGGCCCUAUGGGUUGUAAACUGCUUUUAUACGGGGAUAAAACGUGGGACGUGUCCCGCCUUGCAGGUACCGUAUGAAUAAGGACCGGCUAAUUCCGUGCCAGCAGCCGCGGUAAUACGGAAGGUCCGGGCGUUAUCCGGAUUUAUUGGGUUUAAAGGGAGCGUAGGCCGGAGAUUAAGCGUGUUGUGAAAUGUAGAUGCUCAACAUCUGCACUGCAGCGCGAACUGGUUUCCUUGAGUACGCACAAAGUGGGCGGAAUUCGUGGUGUAGCGGUGAAAUGCUUAGAUAUCACGAAGAACUCCGAUUGCGAAGGCAGCUCACUGGAGCGCAACUGACGCUGAAGCUCGAAAGUGCGGGUAUCGAACAGGAUUAGAUACCCUGGUAGUCCGCACGGUAAACGAUGGAUGCCCGCUGUUGGUCUGAAUAGGUCAGCGGCCAAGCGAAAGCAUUAAGCAUCCCACCUGGGGAGUACGCCGGCAACGGUGAAACUCAAAGGAAUUGACGGGGGCCCGCACAAGCGGAGGAACAUGUGGUUUAAUUCGAUGAUACGCGAGGAACCUUACCCGGGCUUGAAUUGCAUACGAAGGCGUCUGGAGACAGAUGCCGCCGCAAGGCGUAUGUGAAGGUGCUGCAUGGUUGUCGUCAGCUCGUGCCGUGAGGUGUCGGCUCAAGUGCCAUAACGAGCGCAACCCCCAUUUCCAGUUGCCAUCUGUGCAAUAGCAGGGCACCCUGGAGAGACUGCCGUCGUAAGAUGUGAGGAAGGCGGGGAUGACGUCAAAUCAGCACGGCCCUUACGUCCGGGGCUACACACGUGUUACAAUGGUCGGUACAGAGGGCAGCCAUCGCGCAAGCGUGAGCCAAUCCUCAAAGCCGUCCCUAGUUCGGACCGGGGUCUGCAACCCGACCCCGCGAAGCUGGAUUCGCUAGUAAUCGCGCAUCAGCCAUGGCGCGGUGAAUACGUUCCCGGGCCUUGCACACACCGCCCGUCA